CUUUCUGUUUGCCCCAGUCUGGCCGGUGUGCGCAUAGCCUUGCCUUCCGCUUCCAUACGCGUUCUCAAUAGUACAAGCUCGAGUCGGAACCCAAGAUUGGGGAGGCCCGAACUGUCCUAGUUGAACGAACGGGGGCUCCCCAUCUAGCAGAAGCAGCAUCAGCAUCCAGGCACAAGAGCAAUCGAUUUUAGUCAGGUGUAGUCAGUGAGUAAGUUCGGAAGUGGAUCCCUUUUUGUCGCGAGCUACCAUAGAGAAAAAUCUAGGGAUGAUGUGAGAAAAUCUUCUAGUGGUGGAAAGUUGUUGAAAGAAAGAAAAUUCAAGCAAUCCGCGACUAGCCGCAAAUGCGAAGCGUAUAAAAAGGAAGUGGUGGUUGUUCGCAAGGACUGUGCAGUGAUCUUUGGCGGAAAGCAAUCGUAAUGUUCGUAAUCAAAUAGCGAAAGGACCGUGAAAAUGUCGAGCAAGUAGCACCAAAGUCGAGAGAAUUCAUCUGCACUCAGUGGUCAUCCUAUGUGAAUGUGUUGCUCAGAACGGAAGACGACAACCCGUUGUCGACCCGCGGCGAUCCGAACCUUCCUUCAAGGGCUAGCUUGCAGUAAAGGCAAAAAUUUAUACAGGCUCAUACAAACGACCAACGGGAUCAUGGGCACUGGGCAAUGCUUUUGGGCGGUGUUUUGCUUUGCUUGCAUCUGUAGCGCUUCAUUAGCAAAUAAUGCAAAAAUAAAUUUUCGUGAAAAAGAGAAAAAAGUUUUAGAUCAAAUUCUAGGAACAAAUAAAUAUGAUGCUCGGAUACGACCGUCUGGCGUGAAUGGUACAGGAAUACAAAAGCAGGCAUAUGGUCCCGCUGUAGUCAAAAUCAAUCUUUUCGUUCGAAAUAUUAUGACGAUAAGUGACAUUAAGAUGGAAUACAGUGUCCAGUUGACAUUCCGAGAACAGUGGACGGAUGAAAGGCUGAAAUUUGACGAUAUUGGAGGUCGUCUGAAGUAUCUUACUUUAACAGAAGCAAGUCGAGUAUGGAUGCCAGAUUUGUUCUUCUCAAACGAAAAGGAAGGUCACUUUCACAAUAUAAUCAUGCCAAAUGUAUAUAUACGGAUAUUCCCCAAGGGCUCCGUACUUUAUAGUAUAAGAAUUUCGCUUACGCUAGCUUGUCCUAUGAAUCUGAAGUUAUAUCCCUUGGACAGACAAGUUUGUUCACUUCGAAUGGCCAGUUAUGGAUGGACAACAGAUGAUCUAGUGUUUCAGUGGAAGGAGGGAGAUCCUGUUCAAGUAGUUAAGAAUUUACAUCUACCUCGCUUUACCCUAGAAAAAUUCUUAACGGAUUAUUGCAAUAGCAAAACUAAUACAGGUGAAUACAGUUGUCUUAAAGUCGACCUACUCUUCAAGCGCGAGUUUUCAUACUACUUAAUCCAAAUCUACAUCCCAUGUUGUAUGCUUGUCAUCGUAUCAUGGGUGUCCUUUUGGUUAGACCAAGGAGCAGUUCCUGCACGUGUAUCACUAGGAGUAACAACACUUCUUACAAUGGCUACACAAACCUCGGGAAUCAACGCUUCGCUCCCACCAGUGUCCUAUACUAAGGCCAUUGACGUUUGGACCGGGGUGUGUCUAACGUUUGUGUUUGGAGCUCUGCUGGAGUUUGCCCUCGUCAAUUAUGCAUCACGUUCAGAUCGGGCCGCAGACAUGCAUCGGGAGAAUAUGAAGAAGAAACGUCGAGAGUUGGAGCAAGCUAGCUUGGAUGCUGCAUCUGACUUAUUGGACACCGACAGCAAUGCCACAAUUCCGAUGGUAAAUUCCCACAUGAAGCCGUUAGUUCGUCAUCCAGGAGAUCCAUUGGCACUGGAGAAGUUACGACAGUGUGAGGUCCACCUACGACCAACAAAACGUCCGCACUGUUGUAAGACGUGGUUAGCGAAGUUCCCUACGAGUCAAUGUUCUAGAUCGAAGAGAAUCGACGUUAUUUCUCGAAUAACGUUCCCGCUAGUAUUCGCCCUAUUUAACUUGGUUUACUGGAGUACAUAUCUCUUCAGGGAAGAGGAAGAUGAAUAGACAAUUUUUGUUUGUCACGAAAGAAGUACUACAUCGGAAGGAAAAAUCAAAUAUAAAAUGAAAGAAAAUCAACCAAAAAUCAACACUAUCUAGAUAUGAGUCCAGAGGAAAGAAGAACAUCUCGAGAAAGCAAAACAAAAACGCUAUUCACGUAUCUUCAAUGAUUAAGAUGAGAAAUGUCUCUGAUUGCCUGAAUUCGGUUCAACUGAAAUACUCGAGGAAGCUCCAAAAACCUAUGACAUCUACGUAAAUGAAUAAAUAAUAGGCGAAUAAAGAAAUGCAUAUAUUACUCGGUGUAUAUUUGUAAUAAUUAUUUUUAUAGGCAGUUUUUACGUAUAAUACAACAGAACAUUUAUUUGAUACGAUCGUUAACAUGGUAACUAGUAACGAUAGUUUUAUAAUGGAAGCCAUGUGGGAUACAGGAUUGCGAUCGUACUUUACACCUGCUACGAAGAUAAAAUUUUAAAAUUUCACAUCAACUCAACUGAAUUACAUACAUACAUACUAUAUAACAAAUCACGAGACAUUCAUAUUCGGUAGGCUAAAAACAAAUCACAGCAGAGAAAACCUGUAUUCAACUAAUUGGUUUCAGAAUAUGUCAAAACCCUAAUUCCGCCUGUAGUUGAGAAUAACAAAAAUAGAGAUAAGACAACUUUGUAGGCAAAUUAGGAGAACUAGUAACUCAGUGUUGAAAGAAAAUAUCUAGUCGGGCGAAUAUAAUAUCGGACAUAAAGCACUUAAAGUAUUAACAAAUUCGCAACAAUAUUGGUUCCGUAUAUUUUUUCCGUAAGAAAACUAUUGGAAACCAAUGCAUAAAUAAAAUUAUCUCACUCGAUACAGUAACCAGUGUUUUUCUACAGAUUUUUCAACACAAAAGAUGUACAUAUACGAAUCUAUCUUUGCGGUCUCUACAUACUAAAUUUCGAAAAUAUCGGUACGAAUCUUUUCAAUUGUUCCUUUAGUAUCUUUUCUGUUUAUUAUUUCGAAACGUAAUCUUCUUGAGCCGCGUAUCAACCACUUCAAUAAUCUCCUUAUGUUGGCAGAUCAAAUAAGAUACUUUCUCUGAUCGCAGAUUGAUAAUUCAAUUUAGAUUUUCUGCUCAUCUUACGUAUCUUUUCUAUUUUCGCGAUAAAACUUGCCCGUUAUACUCUUUAGACAAGUAUCUUAUCUGUGAUUCAUUCUGUUAUUCAGUCGAUUUGUGGAAAAUAACUUCCCUAAUUACGAAAAAAACGAAUUUAUCUUUGUAAAUUUCAAAGAAUAUUCAUUUUAACAAGAGGAUUUUGUACAUAUAAAAGAAUGAGUCAAAUCAUACAUAAAGAUAUAGUUAAGAGGAUUAGGUUGUGUUUUAAAUAAAUCAUCAAUAAUAGUGAGGUAAAGCUUACAUUAAAUUAGGAAUACAUCUUAGAUUAAAACUAUCUCGAUAGUAACAAAGAAUGAUGAAACUUGGAAAGACGAAAUGACACGCCAUUAACGAUGCGCUGUACAUAGGUAGACCUUAAUAUCAGUUGGGCAAAUAUUUUAAAGAAAUCCCCAUCUAGUCAUAGAUGUGAGGAAAACCUGUAACAUUUUCAUACCUCGAACGCCGGCUCGAUUUUAAGAUCAAUUUCGAAUCAACAUCCAAAAGUACUAUAACUCCAUCUGAAGAACGAAAACCGCGGAAACCUUUGCUCAUCGUCGCAUAUAUGUCGAAAUUGAUCAGAAAAUCCUUGCCCAGGCUAAUAGAAGUGUCGAACAGGAAACAAUGGUAGACGUCGUAAAAAUAAGUUUGUUGAAGCCUAAUAAAGUAUGAAGAGAAGUUUAUAAUGUUUCUAUUAGUAAUAAAAGUAUUGAGGAAGUUAUUGUAAAAUACACAUACAACACAAUAGAAGAUACACACAAGUAAGAAAAUUUUAAGAAAAAAAAUUAUAAUCACACAUAAAUAUGAAUGACCCUAUGAAUAAUAUGUUUGUAUUUAUAUUUUAUGAGAAAAUAUAUUAUUAAAAACUCA
Molecule: RNA transcript, 4027 nt
Organism: Hermetia illucens (black soldier fly)
Lineage: Eukaryota; Metazoa; Arthropoda; Insecta; Diptera; Stratiomyidae
Gene: GluClalpha
Gene name: glutamate-gated chloride channel
Exons: 14
Source: RefSeq, a predicted model, not a curated record